UCAUUGUUAUAGGUCUUAAUCCACUACAUCUGUACCACUGACCAUACAGUUGUACACAGUUCUUCAUUUUUAUUUAAGGGAUUCAGAUGGUGUACCUCUAGGUGUAUCAUAAACCCCUGAGGAUGAAGCAGUGUCUUAUGGUCUCCUGUCUAUGUCUCUAGUGCAAGCUGGGGCAUCUAGAAGGGUCUGGUCACUAGUUGUCGACUGAGUGGAUGUGAAUGCGGAGCAGUCAUUCUUCCUUCAAGGGCUCUUUCCUUUGCCCAUGUUCUGGACAAGAGCUGUGGUACAUACCAACACCAGCUCACUGGCACCACACCAGCUAGGGAUCCUACAGUUCAAUUCUACUGACAUUACCUGGAGCCAGUGCAGACCUCACAUGUUAAAGGGUGAGCUCCCAGCAAGACUGUCUCCUCCUCAGAUGCUAGCUGCGAGUGGGGUCCUCAGAAUACUUGUACUGCCCCCUACCAAUGUGGCUACAAAUUCAGGGGUUUCCAUGAUCCCCCGUUUAGGUUCAAUAACCUGCUAGAAUAACUCACAGAACUCAUGAAAAUACCAUACUUACAAUCACCAUCUUAUUAUAAAGGAUACAGAUGAACAGGCAGCUGAAGAGAUACACAGAAGGGCUGAAAGAGUCCCGAGUGCAGAAGCGCCCCCUUCCCCAUGGAGUUAGGAUGCAUCAUCUUCACAAUGCACUGCUAUGUUCACCAACCAGGAAGCUUUCCAAGCUUUAUUGUCCACAGAAAUUUAUUGGGGUUUCAUUACAAAGGCAUGAUUAAUUAAAUCAUUGGCCAUGAGCUUGAACUCAAUCUCCAGCCCUCUCUCCUCUUGGGAGGUUAGGGGGGAUGGGGCUGAAAGUUUCAAUCCUCUCAUCACAUGCCUGGCAUUGCUGGCAUGACCAAUCUCUCCUUUGAAACGCUGCCCAAAACUCGUUAGCAUAAACUCAGGGAUGGUUGGAAGGGGCUCCCUAUGAAUGCAAAAGACUCUCCUAUCGGGAAAUUCCAAGUGGUUCUAAAGCUCUGUGCCAGGAGCUGGGGACAAAUGACUAGAUACAUUAUUAUAUGACAGUUGGUAUAGUGGUAUAUGGGGUAGCAUUAAAACUAUAAGUGGAUAUUUGAGGUUAAAAUGCUUAGACAUUCAAGUAUCUGUGAAACUAAAACCAGAGCAUAAAGUCUUGAGAUUUGGCAAGAAGACACUCAUGGUUGGGGGCAGGGGGAUCGGUAGACUCAGAAGGAAAGACAAUAGGUUAUUAUGUAUGUAAGGUGACAGUUAUAAUCCAAGCCUUUGGAGAGUUUAAAGGGCUAAGAAGACUGUUGGCUUGCCACUGGCUGGGAGACUUUCAACUCAGCAGGUGCAGACAGGGUUUUGUGUGCAGAGGGAAACAGACAGGAGGCAGGCAAGGUGGAGGAGCAUAAGAGCAAGAUCAUGGAAUUAUAAGAACCAAGGAGCAGGUAAAGGGCAUCCCUUUGGGAAUACGGAGAGCUCCCUCUGCUAAGGCUUGAAGGAAAAGGAAGGAGCUAAUUGGAAAACACACAGUAGUUGACAGCAAUAUGGUGCCCAAGAAGCUGGAUGAAAGCAGAUAUUUUUGGUAAGGUGGGUCACUUGCAGGGUGAGUGUUCAGCAGGGUGACACGAGAAAGUACGUGAUGGUCUUGACUUCAAGAGGGGUCGAAGAAGCGAGGGAAGGAGUAGUGGAGAUUGUCAAGGGAAGAGUGGAACUGGUGGUGCUUCUUAUACAGCGAAUUGAUUCUUUAAAAAGCAGCUGCCAGAUGACCUCUAGAAGUCUCUUCUAACAUGAUCAUUCCAGGAUUCUAUGACUGUUGAGUGAGAACAUCUCAUUGACAAUAGGAUACAUCCCAAUUCCACAACUUCCUGGUGUCUGCACUGUCUAGAGAGAAAGAAAUAGAUGUGCGAGAAUAAUAACUGCCUAAGCAGUUUAAAACACUGGUUAAAAGAGCCAGAAAAAAAAAGAAAGAAGUGUAUCUGAGAGGGUUAGUGUUACCAGAGACAAUUUUUGGGAUACUGGUUAUAGUGCAGAUCUUGACAACUAAAGCCAACUCCAGAGUUGAGUGGUUCUUCUAAAGCUGGGUUCUCACUUGGGGGCAAUUUUGCUCUCCAUGGGACAAGAGGCAAUGUCUUGAGACAUUUUUAAUCGUCACAACUGGGUGGCAUCUAGAGGUUAGAUUUGGGAUGCUGUUCAACACCCUACAAUGUACAGGUUAGCAUCCCCCCCUCCCCGCCCCAACAGAAUUAUCUGGUCCAAAUGUCAGUAGUUGCUGAGGCUGAGAAAACCUGCUUUGAAAGAACCCCGAGAAAGAGUCUGGUGGCAGGUGUCUUGGUAGGAGGUGGAGCUUUGGACAGGUGUGACGGACACUCUUGGUCAGCUGACCCAACCUCUAUUCGCAAUGAAGGACCACCCCCCUCCCCAGUUUUUGGAGUCACUGUUAUGGGGAGCCACAUGACCAUUCUAGGCAAUGAAAUGCAAGAGAAUUUGCUGGAUGAGGCUUCUAAUAAGAUACCCCGGGUAAGUAUCAUCCCCUUUGCUGUUCUUCCUGCCUGGACCGAAGCCUGCCACCUGGAAGUGCAGAACCAACAAAACUAAAAUCAACAAAUGAAGAAGGUGGAGCCAGAAAGAGCUAGUGAUGCCCCAGGGGACAUUUGGCAAUGUCUGCAGGCAUUUUUGGUGGUCCCAAUGGUGGAUACUCUAGUGGAUAGACACAAGGGAUGCUGCUCAGCAUCCUAUACUGCCCAGGACAGCCCUCGGCCCAAAGAGCUCUCCAACCCCUAGAUGCCAAGUGUGCCACAGUGGAAAAAUCCUGCUUGUAGAGAAAGCACAGUGGAGCUGUUGCCUGAGUCCUAGAUCACCUGCCUUAGGAUUUCUUGCAAUGGGAAUUUAAAAAAAAAAAAACAAAAAAACACCUGUUUUGUUUUAUUCUCAACUCCUGAGUUGGGCUGUUAUUUGAGACUGAAUGAAUUCCAAGUUGCUACAGCAGGAGAAGCUCUUGAUUUUAGCUUGUCACAGGGUAAUCUCCAGGGGAAACUUUCUUUAGAUUAUUCUUACUGGCACUUUCCAGGAUUGCACGGGAUAUCCAGUUCCAUCUUUGAAACAGAAGGAGGACAACCAUUCGGUAGCGUCUUUUGCUAGGAGAUGCCAACACCAUCGGUCCCCUCCACCCACGUCACCAGUAGGUUCAGCUGGAUCCAAGAUCACGGGCCUAAAGGAGUCAGAAGCAUUACAUGCUUUUUAAAACCAGUGGCCUCAGAAUCGGGGGCCCAGUCUACUCUUAGCCCUAAGACAAUGUGUCCUAUGUUUUAGAUGCCGGUGAUUCAAAUGUACUGAUACAGCUCAAAGUGAUUUUCUCGAAUUCAAUUAUAUUUGUCAAUAGUAUUUCGAAAGCUGUUAAUUAUCAUACACAGGACAGCAUAAUAUAAAGCUCUCCUUCCUGUUAGGUCAGCUGAACGAUGCUGCAGAAUUUAAUCAACUGUAAGGUCACGUGGGUCACGCCCAUGGUAGCCAGCCCAUGGUAGCUUGUUCUGGCUUUCUUCUCCCCUAUUCUUUCUCAAAUCUUUUUUUCUUUCCUCUCUUUCCUUUUGUUUCCUUUGGUUUUUGUGCUUUGCCGGGAGCACUGAAUAGACAUAGUAAGAUUCCCUGCUGUUCUUGAAGGAUAGCAUUUUUGUGGGUGCGGGAUGCAGGUCUGAAAGGGUAGAUAAAAUCUGAUCUAAUAAAACUCCCAUAGGAUGAAUUAACCUUGAAGGAAUGGUAGCAUUAUUUCUCAGGGACAUACUUCUGACCCCUACACCUCUAAGAUCUGCUAACCAAUCUAUGCUUUUCCCUCCAACCUAGGAAGAUGGAAGCGACCACCCAGGGACCUGUACCUUGAUCCUUCCUUCUCUCUUCCUCCUGGAUUACAUUCUCUCCCACCCUACCCCGGCUCAGGAUUUCCUCUUCAGAGACUAUGGGAGGUUCUGGUGGUUGGCACCCUUCCACCCUUACCCACUGCCCUCCUCAGUUUCACGUGGGGAGUAAAGAAUCACGACCCCAUAGGGGAGAACCCAGGUCAUUGGAAUAGCGCUGGAGGGAAUCAGGUUAAGAAAAGGAGGCAGGGGGCGCCUCGGUGGCUCAGGUAGCUUCCUUCAGCUCAGGUCAUGAUCUCAGGGUCCUGGAAUCAAGUCCCACAUCGGGCUCCCUACUUAGCAAGGAGUCUGCUUCUCCUUCCCCUCCACCUCUCUCAAAUAAUUAAAUAAAAUCUUUAAAAAAAAAAAAAGGAGAGGGCAGGGUUUAGGGCACCUGGUUUUCUGGAUCUGGGUCAGUAGGAAGUUCCUCACAGUCUCAUCCUCAAAGUUGUAAUUGACUGUCCAGAAGACACAGAGCUGCUGAUAUUUUGUGACCAACUCAAGGACCGUCCGGAAACCUUCUGCAGUGUCGAAAUUCUCUGCCCCACUCCCCUGCUCCCAGGCGUAGAUGGUGAGCAGCUCCAAGGCGUACUUUGGGGGCAGAGACCCCUUUUUCUUCAGUUUCCUUUCACACUGAGGGAAGAAGGGAACGUCAGACAAUACUAGUGAAAGCAGGGAGGUGCAGUGAGAUUAAAGAGCCCUGCAGAGGCCAUACAUUCAUGGCCUCUGGGGCCACAGCAGGGCAACUGAGUCACGGGACACAGUGCUGAUGGGACUGGUCUGUGGGAAGUCUGAGCAGGGCAGCCUGGCAGGUGCUCGCUUAGCAGCAUGCAGAUUUCUGGGUCGGGCUUCGGCCACAUAUGAUUCCCUAGAGUUAUAAUAUAAUACAGUGACCACUUACAAAACACCUACUGUGUGUUGACUGUGGAGACAGACAUUUUACGUGGCAUUUAUAAUCCUAAUUCUUAACCCCAGCAAGCAGGCAUAAAUCAACGUUUCUGACGAAGACAGGAGCCGUGGGGUGGGGAAGUGACUCGCUCAAGGUCACACUGUAGCCCCAAGCCCUCUGAGCACCCUGGGGCUGGGGGGUACCUACGGCCAUCUCUCUGAGUUUCUGGGAUGGAAACCACAGAGCUCAAGGAGCUGUACCCAAGAAGGAGACAUCUCAGCAAAGAGCUGAUGCUGUGCUAGACGUCGGCCGUCAUGGAAAUACUCAGAAGCUCCCCUGCAUGCAAGAAAGUGAUGGAAGCGAAGGGAGGCUAACCAUUAUAGAAAAUGACCCUGCCUGUAGCUUCACCUUGUCUUCAAGGAUGGCACCUGCAUGUACUACAUGUGGGGGCCGAGCAAGAGGUAUUGUGAGCGAUAUCACAGGAAGAUAAGAAUAUAAGGAAUAUAAGGAAUGUGGUCCUGGCCAUCCUCUGGAUACUUAGGAAGAGGAGGGAGACACAGACAUGCAAGGAAGGCAUUGCGAAGACACAGCACAGGAGUCCAUGUGGCAACAGAGGCAGAGAUGAGGGAGGGACGUGGCCACAAGCCAAGAGCACCAGCAAGCACCAGAAGCAAGGAAGGAUUCUUCCUGGAGCCUCCAGAGGAGCACAGGCUUGCCUACACUUUGACCUUGGACUUCUGUCAGCCACCAGUGUAUGACACUUUGUCACAGCAACCCUAGGAAAUCUACACAUGGUGCUCUUGGGUAAGACUGCAGUCUGGGUGUCAGGACACCCCCCUCCCCCCAGCAUGACAUGAGCUGUACUUGUAAAGCUCUCUUACCAGAACAUUCCAUGAUGGUCCAGGUGACUCAUUCGGGCUGAGAGCAGACAACCAGCUCUGAGCUUCUUGCUUUAGCAGUUGCCAAGAUGCGUUAUCUUUGCUCACAUUAUUGGUUGGGUCAGUUGGAUCCAAGAUUACUGGCCUGCAAAUUCCAUUAGAUUAAAAAAUCAGUAGAGCUGCAUGUGGAAGAAGAAAUCCAUGUUGGGGAAAGAGGACUGGAGGAGGAGGGUGUCUGGUAAUCUGGACUCGAGAGCCCGCGCUUCCUUUCGGUUGCUCAGGUGCUUUGUCUGAGAUGUCUAGACCCUCUGCUCCUGCCCUCUCUGCUUUGUCUGAGAUGUCUAGACCCUCUGCUCCUGCCCUCUCUGCUUUGCAGUUAUGUUAAUAACAUAAUAAAAUGGCUAGCCCCUUCCUUCUACAAGAGGAAGCACCUGGCCAGUGUUUUGGGGACAAAAUAUGGUGAUGGUCUGAAAUGUGAAAAGCAUUGGUCAGGCUCUCCUCUUUCAGACACACCCCAUUUUGCUUGCCUCGCCACCGCUGCUGGCAUUUUUUUGGUGCAUCCCUGGCUGGGGAGGAUGGGACUGAGCCCUCAUUCUAAGGGGUACAGCCUGGCUUGCAGACAAACAGAUAAAGAGAGAGGGUGGAGAGAAGCUUGGUACCUCGACGACCGGAGCUGGCUCAGCAGAAUAUUCCGGACAGUCUCAUUCUCAAAGUUGUAGUUGACUAUCCAAUAGACACACAGCUGCUCCUGCUGUCUGAUUAGCCCCAGGACAGUUCUGAUGCCUUCGGCUAUGUCAAAGUUUUCUGCUCCGCACCCCUGUUCCCAGGCAUAGACUGUCAGGAGCUCUAGGGCAUACAUGGUCAGCAGAGGUGAACCUUUCAGCUUUUCCUGGCACUGUGGGAGAAGAGACAGGCUGUGGCUGAUCUGGGGACCUUCCCCCUGUGCCAGGGGCCUGAAAUCAAGGAAUCAGAAGUCUAUAGGAAGUCACCAUCUCCCACCAGUGACUAAAAUGAAGCCAUGCCUAAAAUUCGAUGGAUUUUAGUAUCAAGUGUUGGCAAGGAUGUGGAGCACCUGAAACUGUCUUAUGUUGCUGAUGGGAGGGUCAUUAGGUACAACUAUUUGAGAAAACUAAUGUUGGCAGUACUUCCUAAAGUUAAAUAUAUGUAUUAUUAUAUAUAUUUAAUAUACUAUAUAUAUUAUGUGAUGACAUAUAAUGCUUUAUGUACUAUAUAAUAUCGUAUAUAGUCUGCAUAUGAAUUUAUUAUGUACACAUUUUUGCAUACAUAAUAUCACAAUAUAUGUAACUAUAUAUACACACAUAUCCUAUUCCUUAUAACCCAGGACUCCCACUCCCGCAUAUUUACCCAAGAGAAGUGAGUGCUUAAAUUCACAAAAAGACAAGUAGGGGAAUAUCCAUAGUAACCUAAUUUGUAAUAGCCCCAGUUUGGAAAUGAUCCAAAUGUCCAUUAGCAGAAUGGAUAACUGUGUGGUAUAUCAAGACAACAGAAUCCUACAGAACAACAAAACACCACAACUACGUUCAAAAAGAGAGAUCUCUUAGAUGUCACUUUGAGCAAAAGAUGCAGCAUACGUAUGGUACCAUUCCAUUGAUUUCAAGUUCAGAAACGAGCAGAACUGAUUUGUGGUGACAGACAUUAGGACAUUGGUCAUUUAGGGGGAGUAUUAACAGGGAAGGGGCUUGAAGCAGCUGCCAGAUGCAGGAAAGGUGCCCUAUUUUGAUCUGGAUGUUGCUAAAAAGGAUAUAAAAGUGCAUGGACCUGGGGGGACCUGGGUGGCUCAGUUGGUUAAGCAUCUGAUGCUCAUUUUUAAAAAUUUUUUAAAAAGAUUUUAUUUAUUUAUUCAUGAGAGUCAUACAGAGAGAGGCAGAGACACAGGCAG
Molecule: long non-coding RNA, 7557 nt
Organism: Canis lupus familiaris (dog)
Lineage: Eukaryota; Metazoa; Chordata; Mammalia; Carnivora; Canidae
Exons: 3
Source: RefSeq, a predicted model, not a curated record